CUAAAAAGCAUUUUUAAAGAUGGAUUAGGCUCUAGUCCUUUGUUUUUUCUCUGCAUAUUUUUUUAAGAGCCAGUUUCUAAAUGCAUAUUUAUUAGCCUAGAUUUCAUACAGGGAUAGCACCAUUUUUUAAACGGAGAUUGCAGGUUCUCGUAUAAUACUGCUUUAGUUCACAACUGCAGAAAGUGGAGGGGAGAGAAUAAGUAGAUGUUCCCAGAACCACUACUAGCUUUGGGGAUUUUAAUACCCUACAUAGUUCUUUAUCAUAACUACAGCACUGUUGGCAGAAGGCACACUUCUUAAGACU
Long non-coding RNA from Podarcis raffonei (Aeolian wall lizard), 304 nucleotides. RefSeq lists it as uncharacterized. The record is from RefSeq and is a predicted model, not a curated record. Lineage: Eukaryota; Metazoa; Chordata; Lepidosauria; Squamata; Lacertidae. The transcript has 2 exons.